Molecule: ribosomal RNA, 398 nt
Filed under: uncultured bacterium
Lineage: Bacteria
Description: partial 16S ribosomal RNA
Rfam family: Bacterial small subunit ribosomal RNA
Source: RNAcentral
CCUACGGGAGGCAGCAGUGAGGAAUAUUGGUCAAUGGGCUUACGCCUGAACCAGCCAAGUCGCGUGAGGGAAGACUGCCCUAUGGGUUGUAAACCUCUUUUGUCAGGGAGCAACGCCGGCUACGUGUAGCCGGACUGAGAGUAGCUGAAGAAAAAGCAUCGGCUAACUCCGUGCCAACAGCCGCGGAAAUACGGAGGAUGCGAGCGUUAUCCGGAUUUAUUGGGUUUAAAGGGUGCGUAGGCGGAAUGCCAAGUCAGCGGUAAAAUCGCGGGGCUCAACCUCGCUCCGCCGUUGAAACUGGCGUGCUUGAGUGGGCGAGAGGUAUGCAGAAUGCGUGGUGUAGCGGUGAAAUGCGUAGAGAUCACGCAGAACUCCGGUGGCGAAGGCGGCAUACCGGA